RNAcentral lists this ribosomal RNA (253 nucleotides) under uncultured bacterium. RNAcentral describes it as "partial 16S ribosomal RNA". It matches the Rfam family "Bacterial small subunit ribosomal RNA", at positions 524 to 776 of the family's 1533-position model. The record is from RNAcentral.
GACAGAGGCCUCGAGCGUUAGGCGGAAUCACUGGGCUUAAAGCGUGUGUAGGCGGGCGGGCAAGUACCUUGUGAAAUCCCCCGGCUCAACCGUGGAACGGCUGGGUAUACUGCCUGUCUUGAGCCAGCUAGGGGCGACCGGAACAGACGGUGGAGCGGUGAAAUGCGUAGAUAUCGUCUGGAACGCCAAAGGUGAAAACAGGUCGCUGGGGCUGAGCUGACGCUGAGACACGAAAGCCAGGGGAGCGAACGGG